This 373-nucleotide ribosomal RNA is filed under the name uncultured organism. Its description in RNAcentral is "partial 16S ribosomal RNA". It matches the Rfam family "Bacterial small subunit ribosomal RNA", at positions 526 to 896 of the family's 1533-position model. The record is from RNAcentral.
GGAGGGGUGCAAGCGUUGUUCGGAAUUAUUGGGCGUAAAGAGCGUGUAGGGCGGUUCGGUAAGUCAGAUGUGAAAGCCCUGGGCUCAACCCAGGAAGUGCAUUUGAAACUACCAGACUUGAGUACGGGAGAGGAGGGGGGAAUUCCCGGUGUAGAGGUGAAAUUCGUAGAUAUCGGGAGGAAUACCAGUGGCGAAGGCGCCCCUCUAGACCGAUACUGACGCUGAGACGCGAAAGCGUGGGGAGCAAACAGGAUUAGAUACCCUGGUAGUCCACGCCGUAAACGAUGAGCACUAGGUGUAGCGGGUAUUGACCCCUGCUGUGCCGUAGCUAACGCAUUAAGUGCUCCGCCUGGGGACUACGGUCGCAAGACUA